Molecule: transfer RNA, 86 nt
Filed under: Candidatus Ornithoclostridium excrementipullorum
Lineage: Bacteria; Bacillati; Bacillota; Clostridia; Christensenellales; Christensenellaceae
Description: tRNA-Leu
Rfam family: tRNA
About the family: Transfer RNA (tRNA) molecules are approximately 80 nucleotides in length.
Source: RNAcentral
GCCGAUGUGGUGGAAUGGCAGACACAAGGGACUUAAAAUCCCUCGAAGGAGACUUCGUACCGGUUCGAGCCCGGUCAUCGGCACCA